Molecule: ribosomal RNA, 427 nt
Filed under: uncultured bacterium
Lineage: Bacteria
Description: bacterial SSU rRNA
Rfam family: Bacterial small subunit ribosomal RNA
Source: RNAcentral
UGGGGAAUUUUGGACAAUGGGCGCAAGCCUGAUCCAGCCAUGCCGCGUGCGGGAAGAAGGCCUUCGGGUUGUAAACCGCUUUUGUACGGAACGAAACGGUCUUUUUUAAUACAAGGGGCUAAUGACGGUACCGUAAGAAUAAGCACCGGCUAACUACGUGCCAGCAGCCGCGGUAAUACGUAGGGUGCGAGCGUUAAUCGGAAUUACUGGGCGUAAAGCGUGCGCAGGCGGGUAUAUAAGACAGUUGUGAAAUCCCCGGGCUCAACCUGGGAAUUGCAUCUGUGACUGUAUAGCUAGAGUACGGUAGAGGGGGAUGGAAUUCCGCGUGUAGCAGUGAAAUGCGUAGCUAUGCGGAGGAACUCCGAUGGCGAAGGCAAUCCCCUGGACCUGCACUGACGCUCAUGCACGAAAGCGUGGGGAGCAAACA